GACAAACGCUGGCGGCGUGCGUAACACAUGCAAGUCGAACGGACUGGGAGACCGGUCAGUGGCGGACGGGUGCGGAACACGUGGAUAACCGACCGUGAGCUGGGGAAUACCCUCCCGAAAGGGAGGCUAAUACCGCAUAGGCUGGAGACAGCAAAGCCUUCGGGCGGCACACGACGGGUCUGCGGUCGAUUAGCUAGUUGGUGGGGUAAGGGCCUACCAAGGCGAUGAUCGAUAGCUGGUCUGAGAGGAUGAUCAGCCACACUGGGAUUGAGAACGG
RNAcentral lists this ribosomal RNA (277 nucleotides) under uncultured bacterium. Its description in RNAcentral is "partial 16S ribosomal RNA". It matches the Rfam family "Bacterial small subunit ribosomal RNA", at positions 28 to 329 of the family's 1533-position model. The record is from RNAcentral.